CAAACGUACGUCAUAUUUCUAGUUAAUCUGCUGAAGCUUUUGAAAUGCAAUAUGAUGUACGAUAUUCCCCCUCAACGGUUUUUUGAGAAAACAUAGUACAGUUGACAUUGAAUGCUAUCUGGUUGAUUUUGGUUUUGAUAGCAAAGAUGAAUGUCUAAACUAGCUUUGAGGAAACGCUUGUAGUAAGACUGGGGUUUAGCCUUGUAAUGUUCACACUAGUACGAAGAAAGAAGGGUUUGCAGAAGAAUGCUACUCUUAUUGCAGCUUUACAGUAAAGGUAAGAACAUGUCUCGUGCUUUCCAAGAGAUGCUAUGCAUUAAUUUAUUUAUUUUUCACUUCCAACUAUACAGAUUAACUGAAUUAUACAUUCAGGUCUAAAUAAAGCAAUUAUUUAUACAUCAAAGUAACUAAACAGAUCGUCUCCUGAGGGCCAAUCUAGAUUGAUGGGGAGAAUCCCAUGAAGACUGAUAUGAACACUAGAACUGCAAUCGAUGGAGAGAAAAUCGAGCGAAGUCUGGAAAGCGUAAAAUGCAGUAUUAAGCCUGUGAGGCCCUGCAGAUUGGACACUUAGCCCUGAUGCUUAACCACUGAUCUAUACAUUCGACAUGGAAACAAUGUUGGCAUUCAGGCAUGACCCUUAUUGUAUCAUGUGGAACAUAAUCUACGAGGCAUAUUGCGCAGGUUAUAUCAUUAGGUCCUUCAAUCCGACGACUUUCACCAAUUGUGAUCUUUUUGUAGGUUUCGAUUGUGGAUAUGCCCAGCCCUGGUGUCACUGUGUCUGAUGAACUAGCUAUUCCGGAAGUUUGGUUUGAACCACUGUCCUGAAGGUUGUUGCGUCUCAUCAUGCAUAUGCAGCAUGAUAUGAUGAUUAUCACUACCGGAAUAACCAUGGAUGCUAUGACAAAUGACAAGGCAACGGUUCUAGAAACAGAAAAUCUAGAUUGAUGGGGAGAAUUCCAUGAAGACUGAUAUGAACACUGGAACUGCAAUCGGUGGAGAGAAAAUCAAACGAAGUCUGGAAAGUGUGAAAUGAAGUAUUAAGCUUGUGGGGUCCGGCAGAUUGGACACUUAGCCUUGAUGCUUAGCCACUGAUGGAUACAAUCGGCAUGGAAACAAUGUUGGCAUUCAGGUUUCAAUGGUGGAUAGCCCUGCUGUCGCCGUGUUUGAUGAACCAGCUGUUCUGGAAGUUUGGUCUGAACCACUGUCAGGAAAGUUGUUGCGUCUCAUCAUGCAUAUGCAGCACGAUAUGCAUAUUAUCACUAUCACUACAACCGAGGCUGCUAUUUUAAAUGACGAGUGACCCUUUCCAGAAACAGUUACUUUAUUUUCACCUGCAAAUAUUAUUUUAGCAAUGAAGGAAGGAUGGUAUUAGCUAAUUCAUUAUUAUCUAUGUCAGUGUGGAACUCUCGAUUCUGUGGAUCUUCUUGAAUAUUUAUAUCCUCCCCCACCAAGAUAUAUUAUGAGAUUUUGCUCAUUAAUCUUGAUAGAAGUUAUUUAAGAAAAAUAAAAAAAUCACACAUAUCUUUAGUCUCUGACUACCAUAUUUGAGAAGGAAGUUGGAAAUAGAGCAGAAGUAUCAUUUGUUGACCUUGUGAGUAUGAUUAUAUAAAGUUUAGUUAACACUGGCUUUGUCAAAUGUGUUUAUUAUAUUGCUCUUACUGAAUAUAUUAGCAUUCUUCAGCAUUUGUGCUGUCAUCAUCAAGAAUACUUUGAUCCAAUUAAAGUAAAGAACUACUUUAGAAAGUCCACCAACAGCCUCAUGAAUUAUGAUUACGAUAAAUGGUAUGUGAAACAAAGAUUUUUACCUAUAUCAGGGUCAUUCCAUGUUAUAUCGAACUCGACUGGAAAGCGGUCGUCAAGAAAAUAAGAUGAAACCGGGAGUGCUAACGUGACAUUUUUCUUGCACUUGGGAAAAUUCGAUGCUCCAUACUUUAAAGCCAAGAUAUCUGUGGUAGUGUUGCUGAGGCAAUCCACGACAUAACUAGAACGCAGCCCUUUAGGACAGCUGAUAAAGGUGUAAAUCUGAUAGGAAACAGCCAUGAAUGGAUAGUAUGAAAGAUUCGAGCU
Non-coding RNA from Erythranthe guttata (spotted monkey flower), 2067 nucleotides. NCBI's taxonomy places the organism in Eukaryota, Viridiplantae, Streptophyta, Magnoliopsida, Lamiales, Phrymaceae. The record is from RefSeq and is a predicted model, not a curated record.